Molecule: RNA transcript, 6678 nt
Organism: Psammomys obesus (fat sand rat)
Lineage: Eukaryota; Metazoa; Chordata; Mammalia; Rodentia; Muridae
Gene: Tgfbrap1
Gene name: transforming growth factor beta receptor associated protein 1
Exons: 14
Source: RefSeq, a predicted model, not a curated record
AGUGACUGUCACACCAGUGACCCACUCACAAACCUACUGAACAGGUCACCUCACCACCUGGAAGACCAGGGAGUGAGAUCACCCAGUAGACAUGAUGAACAUCAAGGCCUUCACCUUGGUCUCUGCCGUGGAGCGGGAGCUGCUGAUGGGUGACAAAGAGCACAUCAGCAUUGAAUGUGUGGAGUGCUGUGGCAGGAAUCUCUAUGUUGGCACCAAUGACUGCUUUAUUUACCACUUUCUGCUGGAGGAGAAGCCCAUGCCUGCAGGGACAGCUACCUUCAUUGCCACCAAACAGCUGCACAGACACCUGGGCUUCAAGAAACCCGUGAACGAGCUGUGUGCGGCCUCAGCUCUCAAUAGGCUAUUGGUGCUCUGUGACAACUCCAUAACCCUGGUUAAUAUGCUGAACCUGGAGCCCGUCCCCUCAGGAGCACGCAUCAAAGGGGCUACAGCAUUUGUAGUGAAUGAGAACCCUGUGAACGGGGACCCUUUCUGCGUGGAAGUGUGCAUCAUCUCCGUGAAACGCAGGACUGUCCAGAUGUUUCUGGUGUAUGAGGACCGAGUACAGAUUGUCAAGGAGGUGUCCACCCCAGAGCAGCCUCUUGCUGUGGCUGUGGAUGGCUACUUCUUGUGCCUGGCCCUGACCACACAGUACAUCAUCCUGAACUACAGCACAGGCCUUUCCCAAGACCUGUUUCCCUACUGCAGUGAGGAGAAGCCACCCAUUGUCAAGAGGAUAGGCAGACAGGAGUUCCUGCUGGCUGGCCCCGGAGGCUUGGGCAUGUUUGCCACUGUGGCCGGGAUUUCCCAGCGUGCCCCUGUGCACUGGUCAGAGAAUGUGAUUGGAGCAGCUGUUUGCUUCCCAUACGUCAUUGCGCUCGAUGAUGAAUUCAUCACAGUUCACAGCAUGCUGGAUCAGCAGCAGAAACAGACCCUGCCCUUUAAGGAAGGUCACAUCCUGCAGGACUUUGAAGGAAGAGUGAUUGUUGCCACUAGUAAAGGAGUUUACAUCUUGGUUCCAUUACCUCUGGAAAAACAAAUACAGGAUCUGUUAGCAAACCGGAGAGUGGAGGAGGCUUUGGUCUUGGCAAAAGGAGCCCGGAGGAACAUUCCAAAAGAGAAAUUUCAGGUAAUGUACAGGAGGAUUCUGCAACAGGCAGGCUUUAUACAGUUUGCACAACUCCAGUUCUUGGAAGCCAAAGAGCUCUUCAGAAGCAGCCAGCUGGAUGUCCGGGAGCUGAUCUCUCUCUACCCCUUCCUGUUGCCCACCUCCUCCUCCUUCACCCGGUCUCACCCUCCUCUUCAUGAGUAUGCAGACCUGAACCAACUGACCCAAGGUGACCAGGAGAAGAUGGCCAAGUGCAAGCGCUUCCUCAUGAGCUACCUGAACGAAGUCCGCAGCACAGAGGUAGCAAAUGGCUACAAGGAAGACAUUGAUACGGCCUUGCUCAAGCUGUAUGCAGAAGCCGACCAUGAUAGCCUCCUGGACCUCUUGGUCACCGAGAACUUCUGCUUGCUGACCGACAGUGCUGCCUGGCUGGAAAAGCACAAAAAGUAUUUCGCACUAGGACUGCUUUACCAUUACAAUAAACAAGACGCCUCUGCAGUUCAGUUGUGGGUGAACAUUGUGAAUGGGGAUAUCCAGGAUUCUACGCGCUCAGACCUGUACGAAUACAUCGUUGAUUUUCUUACCUACUGCGUAGACCAGGAGCUGGUGUGGACCCAUGCAGAUUGGCUUUUGCAGAAAAGUGAGGAGAUUGGAGUUCAAGUUUUCACCAAGAGACCUUUGGAUGAGCAGCAACAGACCAGUUUUAAUCCAGAUGACAUUAUUAGUUGCCUUAAAAAAUAUCCUAAAGCCCUGGUUAAGUACCUGGAACAUCUUGUUAUGGACAGGAGAUUGCAGAGAGAAGAGUACCACACCCACCUGGCCAUCCUUUACCUGGAAGAAGUGCUGCGGCAGAGGGAACUCACUGGAGGCAAGGACGUAGAAGCCACUGAGACGCAGGCCAAGCUCCGGAGGCUGCUCCAGAAGUCUGACUUGUACCGCGUCAACUUGUUGAAAGAGAAGAUCCAGGGUGCUGGCCUGCCCAUGGAAAGCGCCAUCCUCCACGGAAAGCUGGGUGAGCACGAGAAGGCCCUGCACAUCCUGGUGCAUGAGAUGGGGGACUUCUCUGCAGCUGAGGACUACUGCCUGUGGGGCUCCGAGGGCCAGAAUGCCGCCUACCGUCAGCGCCUUUUCCACACACUGCUUGCCAUGUACCUCUGUGCAGGCCCCACUGCCCAUGAGCUGACAGUGGCUGCUGUGGACUUGCUGAACCAUCACGCCAGGGAAUUUGAUGCGACCCAGGUCCUACAGCUCCUGCCUGACACCUGGUCGGUGCAGCUUCUCUGCCCCUUUCUCACAGGGGCUAUGAGGGACAGCAUCCAUGCCAGGAGGACCACACAGGUGGCUCUGGGCCUGGCCAAAUCAGAAAACCUGAUUUAUAUGUACGAUAAGAUGAAGCUGAAGGGAAGCGCAGUCCGGCUCUCAGAGAAGAAGCUUUGCCAGCUCUGCCAGAACCCUUUUGGUGAACCUGUGUUUGUCAGAUACCCAAACGGAGGUCUAGUGCACACCCACUGUGCUGCCAGCAGACACACAAGCCCCAGCUCACCCAGCCCUGGCACUCGGACUUGAAAAGCAGGGUUCCAGGCCGCAAAGGGGAUUCUGAGACCUUUUCCAAAUCUGCUUUGUGCCAGCCAGAACAAAAGGAAGGCAUCUGGGUGCCAGGGAAAUGUCAUCCCUGGGAAACAAGGCACCUCACUGCUGAUUGUUCUUUGUGUGAAUGUAAAUGGAAAAGGCCUGAAACCCCGACGAUAGUGGCAGGCCAGAGUCUACCUGCCCAGAAGGUUACAGUCAUCCAAAGCAAAGCACAAGCCAACUUUGAAAAGCAGGCAGUAUAGCCUGGGUGAGCCAGACACAGGGAGUGCUUGGCAAAUGGACAGUGGAUGGCAGAGGCAGCAGCAAGGAGGGUGAAGGCAGAGCAGCAGCUAUGGGGAAGUAACCUUUCUCCUAAGUGGGUUGUGGGGGUCUGCAGGUGUUUGUUUACACAGGGGGCCAGACUCGGGGUUCUUUAGUUACCUCUCUCAUUGCUCUGAUCAAACCCCUGACAAGAAGCAGCUUAAGAGACCAGGGUGUUGUUUGAGCUCCUGGUUUGAGAGUGUAGUCCAUCAUGGCAGGAAGGCUGGGGACAGCGUAGAGACGGGAGUGGCUCUCUGCUGGGGCAGACAAGUCUGCUUGGCGGCAUCUGGGUAGAUCAGGACAGGAGAUGCGCACACUCAAAGAGUCUUGGGCCCCGCCCACAGAAACGGGCCAUCCACAUUCAGAGAGAGUCCUCAUGUCUUAGGUUUAUCCUGUCUCAAAACACUUUCACAGACACACCAAAGCAUGUCUCCCAGGUGAUUCUGAAUCUGGUUCUGUUGACAAAAAAGAUGAACCAUGACAUCUGUCAUCAGAUUUGAUCUGUUAAAAAGACCCCCUUUAUGUUCCUUUGAGCCUGAUGAGGUUUGAUGAAGCUAUGUAGUGGUCCUCGCUUGUUCCCUGGUUUAGAUACUUGUGAGCCACCAUAUGGUUGCUGGGAAUUGAACCCAGAACCUCUGGAAGAGCAGAUAGUGCUCUUAAAUGCUGAGCCGUCUCUCCAGCCCCACACUGCCUUUUAUUGUAUAAAAUCCAGAGACAGACACCAGCAAGGUUCCACAACCUCUCCUUUCCUUAAAUGUUUAAAGUACCAUGGUGUUCUGGUUAGUCGCCAUGCGUUCUGUCAGUAGCACCCAGUCUCUACCACACAGCAGCGGGAGCACUGAACUAACUCUUUUCUUCAGCAUGGCCAGAUUCAUAGAGUUCUGUCAAUCAGGUUUGCAGUAAGUUUUUUUUUUUUCAAUAUGUUUAAUAAAGUUUAUCCCUAUGUAGCUUUAAAUUUUCACUUUAAAUUUUAUGUGUCUCAUUGAUUGACUGGGAAGCUUAAUAUGACAUCGUGUUCCUCACUGAGGCAUAAAUACAUGCAGUCUAUAUCACUACACAUAAGACUAUAUCUUUUGAGGGGUUAGGGCAAAAAGAGAACUCACCUUCUUCAACUGAUGUACUAGAGAUAUGUUUAUUUUUCAAGAGCAAAGGCUUGUUUAUGAAGUUUGUACUUAUGACUUUAAAAGUCCCAUGCAUUCUAGGAUCUCUUGUUUAUUUUUAGAUUGUGUGGCUCAUUGGCAGAUGCUGUGGGGAGUCCACUAAAUCUCCCCUUUUAUUCCGGGGGGCAGCAAAUUACAGCGAGGUAGAUAGCCCCACUCCAGGUCCCAGCUUUCUUUGGGACUGCCCACAAUUGUGUGGCCAUGGAGAACAGGCUGUGUGGAGAACUGAUUUAUCACAUUUCUCCAUACUUGUCCCACUCUCAUAUCCUGGAGCACAGAGUGGCUGCAGCCCUGACUAGCCCACACUACAAAGACCAUAAACAUGAAGAGGAUAACGGGAAGCUAGGUGAAAGGAGUAGCCUGAAUGACAACCAGUGUGCCUAGCCCUUUAAUAGUUAAUGUCUGUUUCCAAAGGGCAUUUUAGUGCUGCUGACUUUGCUAGCCCUACCCUUCACCUUCUCACUCCUGCUUCUCUUUCCCCAGGUGUGCUGUGGAUGUCAGAACAGCCCCCAGAGAGCAAGUGUGUACAUGCACGUGCUUUUGUCCAGGUGUGCAGAUGAUGUUGCACUCGCUGCCAACGCCGCUCUUCCCAUCAGCCCUGCAGUCCGGCUUGCAGGGGCACAGCUGAGGCCAUGUGCCACUAAGUCCAGCAAGGCUCUGAAAUCUUAGGCCAUGUGAGGUUCCUGAAAAAGUUCUUUAAAAUACCACUGGAGGAGAAGUGUCCAUAGGCUUGCUCCUCACAGUCGUCUGGCAAUUCUCUUGGGCACCUUUGGACCCUGUGAACCCGACCCAUGUAAGCUGAGCUACCCCUAGCCUUGCUGGGCACAGGGAGAGGCAAAGGACUGGUGGCACCCGCCUUAAUACAGCACAGCCAGUUCCACGUCCUCUCUCUUUCCCUCUUGGCUGAUGGAAACGAGUCAGCCGUCUUCUCCACAGACCCUCUCCUGGGCUGAACUUAACAUAAACUGCAUUCUGUUCACAUGCUACCCUCCUUCCUUGCCUCCAUCACCACUACCACAGAGAGAGGCUGGGAGCUGGGAGCUGGCCUCUGAGAGAAGUAAGGAAUGAAGCGAAGUGGAGCUUCUGUGCUCUUGGGCUGAGUUCUCGCACUCCUGGGAUAAAUCAACUAGUUUUGGGUGCAGCCCAGCCUUUUCUUUUCUUUUUCUUUCUUUUUUGGCACCAUCACUUGCGCACCAUGCUUUAUCCAACAGGCAUUUAACAAACGCCCAUCUUAUGGGUGGACAAAUGAAUGCAUGGGACCUGGCUAUUCCAGGCAGAAAACAUCCAGUUGAGAAUCAAGGGGACUUAUCAUCUCUUGGCCUUUAGCUAAGAUCAAGUGUAGAAUCAAGGGGACUGAAGUCAUGUAGACCUGUUUCCUCCUUUAACAAAUGGGUAAACUGAGGCUGACAGAAGAUGAAACAAAAAGGAUUACUGACUGGUCCCUGAUAGAGUCAGACCUGAUAUCAGAGUUUCUUAGUUUUUUUUUCCUCUCUUCAGAUCUGACUUUGUAAAGAGAGCUCAAUGGACCCACUGCUGUGUCCCAGACCUGCAGAACCCACCUUCCUACACCAGAGGGUCUUUGUCAUAACGGGUGACCAUGAGAUAGCGGCCAAGCACAGAAUGCCACCAAAAUGUCUCCUCUGUGUAACUUCACUCCCAGGUUCAGGUUCUGGGCAAGAGGGUUUGCCAGCAGCAGUGGGCAUGAGUGAGGUAGGAGGAACAGAUGGGUGGAUGUAAGCCCGGCUUUGGGGAAGGGUGUCUGUUCUGUCCCUCGAGCGAUUCUGGUGCUACUGUGGAUUUGGUGCCUCCAGGCUCUGUUGUCCAGAGGAGAUGUGUAAACAAAGCCAAGCAGCUGGCUGUUCUGCCUCUGAGAGCAAGUCGCUACAGAUACUUGCCAGUGGACAAGUGGCAGUAGGUAUGUUCUUAGCACGCUGGAGAAGAGCCAAAGAGGAGACAGGAACAGAGUUCAGGGACUGUCAGGCUAUCCAGAGGUGUGAGUGGUGGGAACAGGCCUGAGUGUCCAGGUGGACUUCUCUUUUCAGCUAAGCCGUCACAAAGCACGCUUUGAGCUCUGGGCCACUGACCCAGCACCACCUGCCACACCGGGGACCUCCACAGCUUCCCAGUCCGAAAUCUUUCUAAAAGGAUAAUUUGGCAUGAUCAGAAACACACAGUUGAACAUCAUAAAGAUGUGUGUGCCAUACCCAGCCUUGCGGAUACAGCUCUGAAGAGUGCUGGCAUCAGAAUGAACAAGGGCACCACAGUCUACCACCAGGGGCUUCUCCUGAGCAUGUGCGGUGGGGGCUGGGACGAACGUGAUAUGCUCUUUUGGCAGCUCCUCCUCUUGCCCCACUCUCAGGCAGCUUCACUUUUGGCUUCCCCUCAUCCCUUCUCACUCCUGGCCGACUUCUGAAAGCCCCAAUUCCCAUUAGGGCUAUAGACGGUUUUUCUGAGACAAAUAAUAAUUCAUCUUAUGGAAAUCAGAAAAUUGAAAGCCACAGAUCACCUGGUAACAAAAAA